GUGAAUCAUCAAAUCUUUGAACGCAAAUUGCACUUUCUGUUAGUCCGGAAAGUAUGCCUGUGUGAGGGUCAGUUAAUUAAAAAUCGGUGUUGUUGCUGCUUUUCGGUGUGACGCGGCGGAAUUGAGUUUUCUUACCUUCUGUGAAGUUACUUAAAAUUUUGCAUGAUUUUCGAACGUAGUUAAAUUUCUUACGUACGUUUGAGAUAUCGAAUACUUUAUUAGGUUCGGUCAUCCUCAUGAUUCGCACCUAUAAUUUUUCAUUAAUUAACCUGAAAUCAGGUAAGAAUACCAGCUGAACUUA
This 301-nucleotide unclassified non-coding RNA is filed under the name Glomus sp. Its description in RNAcentral is "partial contains 5.8S ribosomal RNA, internal transcribed spacer 2, and large subunit ribosomal RNA". The stretch from base 1 to 71 matches the Rfam family "5.8S ribosomal RNA", at positions 84 to 154 of the family's 154-position model. Lineage: Eukaryota; Fungi; Glomeromycota; Glomeromycetes; Glomerales; Glomeraceae. The record is from RNAcentral.